UGGGGAAUAUUGCACAAUGGGGGAAACCCUGAUGCAGCGACGCCGCGUGAAGGAAGAAGUAUUUCUGUAUGUAAACUUCUAUCAGCAGGGAAGAAAAUGACGGUACCUGACUAAGAAGCCCCGGCUAACUACGUGCCAGCAGCCGCGGUAAUACGUAGGGGGCAAGCGUUAUCCGGAUUUACUGGGUGUAAAGGGAGCGUAGACGGCAUGGCAAGUCUGGUGUGAAAGGCAGGGGCUCAACCCCUGGACUGCAUUGGAAACUGUCAGGCUGGAGUGCAGGAGAGGUAAGUGGAAUUCCUAGUGUAGCGGUGAAAUGCGUAGAUAUUAGGAGGAACACCAGUGGCGAAGGCGACUUACUGGACUGUAACUGACGUUGAGGCUCGAAAGCGUGGGGAGCAAACAGG
This 404-nucleotide ribosomal RNA is filed under the name Acidobacteriota bacterium. Its description in RNAcentral is "Acidobacteria bacterium partial 16S ribosomal RNA". It matches the Rfam family "Bacterial small subunit ribosomal RNA", at positions 355 to 776 of the family's 1533-position model. Lineage: Bacteria; Pseudomonadati; Acidobacteriota. The record is from RNAcentral.